RNAcentral lists this long non-coding RNA (931 nucleotides) under Lepisosteus oculatus (spotted gar). RNAcentral's name for it is "lncRNA (ENSLOCG00000022396.1)". The record is from RNAcentral. Lineage: Eukaryota; Metazoa; Chordata; Actinopteri; Semionotiformes; Lepisosteidae.
AUGAAGUGUCUGCACACGGGCCGGCUGGACAUGUCUGCAGCACACAGAGAGAAAGAGAGAGAGGAGAGAGAGAGGAGAGUCAGCACACAGAGAGAGGAGAGAGAGAGGAGAGUCAGCACACAGAGAGAGGAGAGGGAGGAGAGUCAGCACACAGAGAGAGGAGAGGGAGGAGAGUCAGCACACAGAGAGAGGAGAGGGAGAGAGCACACAGAGAGAGGAGAGAGAGAGGGGAGAGAGAGGGGAGACAGCACACAGAGAGAGGAGAGAGAGAGGGGAAAGGGGUUAACACAGACACAGGCCCCAGGACGUGACGAGAGAGAGAGAGAGAGAGGAGACAGAAGGGACAGGAGGCACAGAGGGGGGGGGCAGACGCAGACACUGCAGCAGGGGGUCGAAGCGCCUUCUCCUCACCUCCCAUGUGGGGCCCGUUGGGGCCCCCCCCUCCUCCGCGGGGGGGCCCCCCUCCGCCUCCGCGCCCGGGCCUGCCCCGGAAGUUGGGGUCACCCCCCCCUCGGCCGCCGCGGCCCCUGUGGAAGUGCCCCCCUCCUCCUCCUCCUCCUCCUCCGCCGCCGCCGCCCCCUCCUCCUCCUCUCAUGCCGUGGGGUCCCCCGCCCCCCCGCAUGGGCUCCCCAUGCUGGUCCCAGUAGCCCUCCCCCCCGCGGGGCUGGGGGUGCGGAGGGGGGGGCCCCAUCAUCCGGGGGCCCCCGCCCCCUCCCCCGUGGGGUCCCGGGUAGUGCCCGCCGGGGGGGCCGUGGCCGUGGGGGGGGUAGUGGGGGCCGCCCUUGGGUGGGGGGUACCCCCCGUUCAUGGGGGGGCCGUGGCCCAGCAGUCCAGAACUCGCUGUGGGGGGAGAGAGAGAGAGAGAGAGAGUGGGGUUAACUGGGGGCCCCCAUGGAGAGGCACACUGGGACAGAGGGAAGACCGCAGACGG